GCUGUUUUUGACAUAUACUUCAUAUCUCCAUAGUAAACUAAAUCCCUUUCAAUGUAAUUCGAACAAUAACAAUUUUACGGGUUUACAUGUAUAAAUAAGAGUGAAUAAUGAGACUUGUUUGUUGUCAGACAUUUUAGACUGCGAAUUUGAUUGAAGAUAGUCAGGAUAUACUUGUUAACCCUUUCCUCCAUAAUGACGUUUUUUGACGCCACCCCCUUUACUCCAUAAUGACGACUUUUGACGCCUGUGUAGUACCUCAGUUGAAACGCUUAGACUACGAAAUGUCUGCAUUGGACUUAAAAAAAUUAGCAUCCAAUAUGAAAAGGAUAUUCAUAAGAAUAUCUGAUUUGAAUUUCAUUGAUGAAAUAUUCAUUUUCACAAUGCAUUAAUACUUUAAACCCGAUGAUUUUUUUUUUAUUAAAAAAAUCCUAUGCAAAUCAAGUAUGUAAGAAAAUAAAUUCCACGGAGGAAAGGGUUAACCAAUCAUUGUGUCACAACUUCAUUCAAUGAAAGUAUAUUUAUGUCUUGAAUAUAAUUUAAUAUUCAUUUGUAAUGUAUCAAAAUAUAUAACAAAAUUAUCAUGAUUAUUAAAUUUGUACAGUAAUUUGAAACUUGUCAUAAAUCUGAUUGGUCAUAUAAAAACUAUGUCUAAAAGUUACUACUUUAUUUGUUUGAAGCAUCUGUUAUUGUUAUAGAAUUUUGGGAUUGCAUUAAGUUUCGGGCUGAUAUGGGGGUGUCAGGAUGAUACCCAGGCCGAUAAGGAAAAGUCCAUGCAUUAGUCUCAAUGUAUUGCCUCUCACUAAUUAAGUUAAUAUAGUUAUAUUAUUUAUAUUGUUCCGCUAUGAGUGCAAUCAAAACUAUUAUUUCUUUCCUUUACAAAGAAGGGUUGGUAUACUGGUUUACCUCUGUCCAUGUUUCCAUAUCAAUUUUGAUAUGACACCAUUUUGAGUUGUCGCAUGUUUGCUAUUUGAAUGAUGAUUCAUAUCAUAUCAUACAUUUCUAAACAUUCUGAUAAAUCAAAUUCUGUAACUUAACAGAAACAAAAAAAACAUUUUGCACAUCUGAGAGGUAUGUAGCUCCAACAUCUCUGCCAUUCCAAAACUAUCAGCUCUCAGCAUUCUUAUUAGGAUUAGUGUAAAAUAGUUCUUUGACUGCAGAAAACUGUAUAAUCUUGAUUCUUCUUUUUUAUUAUUAGAUAUAUGUAUGAUCUCAUUUGCUAUUGUAAGAUAAAUAAUUUCUGUAAAUAAUUAAAAUGUGUGCUUUUGUGAAUAGCGUUAAAGGGCAUAUUAACAAAGCAAUGUCUUUCUAGGACUAUUUUCAGUGGACUUGACAUACUGUUAGCAUAUUUUCAUAGAUAAUUUUUAUUUACCAGUCAAAAUUUUGACGGGACGUAUUAUGGUAUAUAAAUGUCCAGCAUCCGUCUGUCCGUCUAUCAGUCUGUCUGUCCCAUGUAAACAUGUCGUACCUUAAAUUGAGAACGACUUAUCCAAAUUUCAUGAAACUUAACAUAGUUGUUUCUUAUGAUGGUCAAACGAUCUGUAUACUUUUUGGUGGAAAUUAGAAUAAAACUUUUUGAGUUACGGGACUUUGUAACUAAAACCAGGGUGUGUUUUUUUUCAAAUGACAUGUCACACCGUAUCUCAAAAACAAUUUAUGAUUAUUGCUUAAAACUUUACACACUUCUUACUUAGAUUAAUCUUAAAAUCUGUAUACUUUUUGGUGAUGAUUCUAAAUUUUAUUGUAAAGUUAUUGAGUUUUUUUGUAAAAAAAGGGGGGGGGGGGGAGUUUCACAUGUCACACUGUAUCUCAGAAACUGUUCAUGAUUAUUGCAUAAACUUCAAACACAAGAAGACGUAUCAUGCGCUCAUGGUGCAGCUGUUUAUUUAAUUGUUUAGUCCUUUUGAUCUAAUUUCUUAAAGAUAUGUUUUAACUAAUUUUGACAAGUACAUGACUAUUUGAAUUUAUGUCUUUUUUCUUCUCGCAACACUCACUUAAACAAGUUUUUAUAGUAUUUCAGAAAUCCAGAGAAAUAUUCUUUGAAAAUAAACAUAACUUAUUCUAUGCCUCAUAAAUGUAAAACUACUUGACAAUGAAUAUUUCGUUCUAUGAAAAACAACAAAUUAUCUGCAC
RNAcentral lists this long non-coding RNA (2130 nucleotides) under Mytilus galloprovincialis (Mediterranean mussel). Lineage: Eukaryota; Metazoa; Mollusca; Bivalvia; Mytilida; Mytilidae. The record is from RNAcentral.